Trichonephila clavipes is the source of this 73-nucleotide non-coding RNA. NCBI's taxonomy places the organism in Eukaryota, Metazoa, Arthropoda, Arachnida, Araneae, Nephilidae. The record is from the annotation of a GenBank genome assembly.
GUCCCUGUAGCGCAAUGGAUAGCACGUUGGACUUCUUAUUCACAGAUAGUGGGUAAGAAUCCCACCUGGGAUG